UGCCAGGAAUUCUUCUGUGUUGCUCUCUGA
This 30-nucleotide non-coding RNA is filed under the name Rattus norvegicus (Norway rat). Lineage: Eukaryota; Metazoa; Chordata; Mammalia; Rodentia; Muridae. The record is from RNAcentral.